RNAcentral lists this ribosomal RNA (400 nucleotides) under uncultured bacterium. RNAcentral's name for it is "bacterial SSU rRNA". It matches the Rfam family "Bacterial small subunit ribosomal RNA", at positions 356 to 774 of the family's 1533-position model. The record is from RNAcentral.
GGGGAAUAUUGCACAAUGGGGGCAACCCUGAUGCAGCGACGCCGCGUGAGCGAUGAAGGAAUUCGUUUCGUAAAGCUCUGUCCUUGGAGAAGAUAAUGACGGUAACCAAGGAGGAAGCACCGGCUAAAUACGUGCCAGCAGCCGCGGUAAUACGUAUGGUGCGAGCGUUGUCCGGAAUUAUUGGGCGUAAAGGGUACGUAGGCGGUUUAACAAGUCAGAUGUUAAAACUUGAGGCUUAACCUCAUGUUGCAUUUGAAACUGUAAAACUUGAGUAGUGGAGAGGAAAGUGGAAUUCCUAGUGUAGCGGUGAAAUGCGUAGAUAUUAGGAGGAAUACCAGUAGCGAAGGCGACUUUCUGGACACAAACUGACGCUGAGGUACGAAAGCGUGGGGAGCAAACA